ACAUACAGCUGAAGUUAGCAUAAAAUCCCUCCUUUACCUGUAAGGGGUUAAGAAGCUCAAAUAACCUGUUUGGUGACUGACCAAAAGGACAAAUAAGAGAAGAAGAUACUUUCCAAUCUGUGGGGGAAGGUUUUUCUGUUUGUGCUCUCA
Long non-coding RNA from Chelonia mydas (Green sea turtle), 150 nucleotides. RefSeq lists it as uncharacterized. The record is from RefSeq and is a predicted model, not a curated record. NCBI's taxonomy places the organism in Eukaryota, Metazoa, Chordata, Testudines, Cheloniidae. The transcript has 3 exons.